GAUGAACGCUGGCGGCGUGCCUAAUACAUGCAAGUCGAGCGAACGGACGAGAAGCUUGCUUCUCUGAUGUUAGCGGCGGACGGGUGAGUAACACGUGGAUAACCUACCUAUAAGACUGGGAUAACUUCGGGAAACCGGAGCUAAUACCGGAUGAUAUUUUGAACCGCAUGGUUCAAAAGUGAAAGACGGUCUUGCUGUCACUUAUAGAUGGAUCCGCGCUGCAUUAGCUAGUUGGUAAGGUAACGGCUUACCAAGGCAACGAUGCAUAGCCGACCUGAGAGGGUGAUCGGCCACACUGGAACUGAGACACGGUCCAGACUCCUACGGGAGGCAGCAGUAGGGAAUCUUCCGCAAUGGGCGAAAGCCUGACGGAGCAACGCCGCGUGAGUGAUGAAGGUCUUCGGAUCGUAAAACUCUGUUAUUAGGGAAGAACAUAUGUGUAAGUAACUGUGCACAUCUUGACGGUACCUAAUCAGAAAGCCACGGCUAACUACGUGCCAGCAGCCGCGGUAAUACGUAGGUGGCAAGCGUUAUCCGGAAUUAUUGGGCGUAAAGCGCGCGUAGGCGGUUUUUUAAGUCUGAUGUGAAAGCCCACGGCUCAACCGUGGAGGGUCAUUGGAAACUGGAAAACUUGAGUGCAGAAGAGGAAAGUGGAAUUCCAUGUGUAGCGGUGAAAUGCGCAGAGAUAUGGAGGAACACCAGUGGCGAAGGCGACUUUCUGGUCUGUAACUGACGCUGAUGUGCGAAAGCGUGGGGAUCAAACAGGAUUAGAUACCCUGGUAGUCCACGCCGUAAACGAUGAGUGCUAAGUGUUAGGGGGUUUCCGCCCCUCAGUGCUGCAGCUAACGCAUUAAGCACUCCGCCUGGGGAGUACGACCGCAAGGUUGAAACUCAAAGGAAUUGACGGGGACCCGCACAAGCGGUGGAGCAUGUGGUUUAAUUCGAAGCAACGCGAAGAACCUUACCAAAUCUUGACAUCCUUUGACAACUCUAGAGAUAGAGCCUUCCCCUUCGGGGGACAAAGUGACAGGUGGUGCAUGGUUGUCGUCAGCUCGUGUCGUGAGAUGUUGGGUUAAGUCCCGCAACGAGCGCAACCCUUAAGCUUAGUUGCCAUCAUUAAGUUGGGCACUCUAAGUUGACUGCCGGUGACAAACCGGAGGAAGGUGGGGAUGACGUCAAAUCAUCAUGCCCCUUAUGAUUUGGGCUACACACGUGCUACAAUGGACAAUACAAAGGGCAGCGAAACCGCGAGGUCAAGCAAAUCCCAUAAAGUUGUUCUCAGUUCGGAUUGUAGUCUGCAACUCGACUACAUGAAGCUGGAAUCGCUAGUAAUCGUAGAUCAGCAUGCUACGGUGAAUACGUUCCCGGGUCU
RNAcentral lists this ribosomal RNA (1372 nucleotides) under uncultured bacterium. RNAcentral describes it as "bacterial SSU rRNA". It matches the Rfam family "Bacterial small subunit ribosomal RNA", at positions 28 to 1381 of the family's 1533-position model. The record is from RNAcentral.